Molecule: ribosomal RNA, 497 nt
Filed under: uncultured bacterium
Lineage: Bacteria
Description: partial 16S ribosomal RNA
Rfam family: Bacterial small subunit ribosomal RNA
Source: RNAcentral
GAUGAACGCUGGCGGCGUGCCUAAUACAUGCAAGUCGAGCGAACAGAUAAGGAGCUUGCUCCUUUGACGUUAGCGGCGGACGGGUGAGUAACACGUGGGUAACCUACCUAUAAGACUGGGAUAACUUCGGGAAACCGGAGCUAAUACCGGAUAACAUUUGGAACCGCAUGGUUCUAAAGUGAAAGAUGGUUUUGCUAUCACUUAUAGAUGGACCCGCGCCGUAUUAGCUAGUUGGUAAGGUAACGGCUUACCAAGGCAACGAUCCGUAGCCGACCUGAGAGGGUGAUCGGCCACACUGGAACUGAGACACGGUCCAGACUCCUACGGGAGGCAGCAGUAGGGAAUCUUCCGCAAUGGGCGAAAGCCUGACGGAGCAACGCCGCGUGAGUGAUGAAGGGUUUCGGCUCGUAAAACUCUGUUAUUAGGGAAGAACAAAUGUGUAAGUAACUGUGCACGUCUUGACGGUACCUAAUCAGAAAGCCACGGCUAACUACGUG